GAAGAUGGUAACCUUGGGUUUGGCUCUUGUCUAUGUUCCUUGGAACAGGACGUCAUAGAGGGUGAGAAUCCCGUCUGAUGAGAUGCCCAUUCCUAUGUAAGGUGCUAUCGAAGAGUCGAGUUGUUUGGGAAUGCAGCUCUAAGUGGGUGGUAAAUUCCAUCUAAAGCUAAAUAUUGGCGAGAGACCGAUAGCGAACAAGUACAGUGAUGGAAAGAUGAAAAGAACUUUGAAAAGAGAGUGAAAAAGUACGUGAAAUUGUUGAAAGGGAAGGGCAUUAGAUCAGACUUGGUGUUUUACGAUUAUCUUCUCUUCUUGAGUUGUGCACUCGUAUUUCACUGGGCCAGCAUCGAUUCGGAUGGCAAGAUAAUGGCAGUUGAAUGUGGCUUCACUUCGGUGGAGUGUUAUAGCUUCUGCUGAUAUUGCCUGUCUGGAUCGAGGGCUGCGUCUUUUGACUAGGAUGCUGGCGUAAUGAUCUAAUGCCGCCCGUCUUGAACCACGGA
This 500-nucleotide ribosomal RNA is filed under the name Hansenula anomala. RNAcentral's name for it is "Wickerhamomyces anomalus partial large subunit ribosomal RNA". It matches the Rfam family "Eukaryotic large subunit ribosomal RNA", at positions 151 to 665 of the family's 3401-position model. The record is from RNAcentral. Lineage: Eukaryota; Fungi; Ascomycota; Saccharomycetes; Phaffomycetales; Wickerhamomycetaceae.